GCCUAACACAUGCAAGUCGAACGAGAAAGUGGAGCAAUCCAUGAGUAAAGUGGCGACCGGGUGAGUAACACGUGACUAACCUACCUCCGAAUGGGGAAUAACUCCGGGAAACCGGGGCUAAUACCGCAUAACACCGCAAGGUCAAAGCAGCAAUGCGUUUGGAGAGGGGGUCGCGGCUGAUUAGCUAGUUGGCGGGGUAACGGCCCACCAAGGCGAAGAUCGGUAUCCGGCCUGAGAGGGCGCACGAACACACUGGAACUGAAACACGGUCCAGACUCCUACGGGAGGCAGCAGUGGGGAAUUUUGCGCAAUGGGGGAAACCCUGACGCAGCAACGCCGCGUGGAGGAUGAAGCCCUUUGGGGCGUAAACUCCUUUCGACCAAGACGAUAAUGACGGUACUGGUGGAAGAAGCACCGGCUAACUCUGUGCCAGCAGCCGCGGUAAUACAGAGGGUGCAAGCGUUGUUCGGAAUUAUUGGGCGUAAAGGGCGCGUANGCGGUGCCACAAGUCACCUGUGAAAUCUCCGGGCUUAACUC
This 537-nucleotide ribosomal RNA is filed under the name uncultured bacterium. Its description in RNAcentral is "bacterial SSU rRNA". It matches the Rfam family "Bacterial small subunit ribosomal RNA", at positions 46 to 615 of the family's 1533-position model. The record is from RNAcentral.